RNAcentral lists this ribosomal RNA (677 nucleotides) under uncultured fungus. Its description in RNAcentral is "eukaryotic LSU rRNA". The stretch from base 253 to 406 matches the Rfam family "5.8S ribosomal RNA". Lineage: Eukaryota; Fungi. The record is from RNAcentral.
UCCGUAGGUGAACCUGCGGAAGGAUCAUUGAAUUUCCAUCGUAUCCACCUCGUGCACCUACAUGUUGGCCCGUUGUUGCCCUUCACGGGGUGGCAAGCGUGCCGGUUCCUUGCCCAUUGGGCAAUGGUGGCCGGCAGGGUUGGCUGCUUUGCAGCAAUGCAGGGCAGCCAGGUCGGUCUGUUUUCUUUUCACACCCAUCAAUAUACUGAAGCAAUCAGGCUUGGCUCUUGUAGCUAGCCUUCUAACAAAAACAACUCUCAACAACGGAUAUCUUGGCUCCCGUAACGAUGAAGAACGCAGCGAAAUGCGAUACGUAGUGUGAAUUGCAGAAUUCCGUGAACCAUCGAAUCUUUGAACGCAUAUUGCGCCUGAGGCUUCGGCCGAGGGCAUGUCUGCCUCAGCGUCGGCAUAACCCCAUCACCCACAAAACUUUGUGAGUGGACUUGGCAGUCCCAGUCCGGGUCUGCCGAAUUACAGCAGUUGCUAUCAGGACCCGCCUUUGGCGUGGCCAUUCAGUUUGGUAGGUAACCCCUGGUUGCAUGCCACUGUUGGCCAUUGUGGCCUGUUGUAGCAUACUGGGCAGGGGAAACCAAGGGGGGGGCGGUGGAAGGCCCUUUCCUCAUUUCGGACCUGGAGGGUCAGGGCAAGGAUUACCCGGCUGGAACUUAAGGCAUAUC